Long non-coding RNA from Salmo trutta (river trout), 1824 nucleotides. Ensembl lists it as uncharacterized. Lineage: Eukaryota; Metazoa; Chordata; Actinopteri; Salmoniformes; Salmonidae. The record is from Ensembl.
AUGUCAUGUAAAAUGCAACUUCAACGUGAGGGCUUAGAGGAAUCUGACAACUUCCUUGGAACUAAAUACAUUGGUGGUCACGUCACUGUCACAGUGGUAACGUUACUGUCACAGUGGUUACGUUACUGUCGCAGUGGUCACGUUACUGUCACAUUACUGUCACAGUGGUCACGUUACUGUUGCAGUGGUCACGUUACUGUCACAGUGGUCACGUUACCGUCACAGUGGUUACGUUACUGUCACAGUGGUCACGUUACUGUCACAGUGGUUACGUUACUGUCACAGUGGUCACGUUACUGUCACAGUGGUCACGUUACUGUCACAGUGGUCACGUUACUGUCACAGUGGUCACGUUGCUGUCACGUUACUGUCACAGUGGUCACGUUACUGUCACAGUGGUCACGUUACUGUCACAGUGGUCACGUUACUGUCACAGUGGUCACGUUACUGUCACAGUGGUCACGUCACUGUCACAGUGGUCACGUCACUGUCACAGUGGUCACGUUACUGUCGCAGUGGUUACAUUACUGUUACAGUGGUCAUGUUACUGUCACAGUGGUCACAUUACUGUCACAGUGGUCACGUUACUGUCACAGUGGUCACGUUACUGUCACAGUGGUCACGUUACUGUCACAGUGGUUACAUUACUGUCACAGUGGUCACGUUACUGUCACAGUGGUCACGUUACUGUCACAGUGGUCACGUUACUGUCACAGUGGUCACGUUACUGUCACGUUGCUGUCGCAGUGGUUACAUUACCUUCACAGUGGUCACGUUACUGUCACAGUGGUCACGUUACUGUCACAGUGGUCACGUUACUGUCGCAGUGGUCACGUUACUGUCACAGUGGUCACAUUACUGUCACAGUGGUCACGUUACUGUCACAGUGGUCACGUUACUGUCACAGUGGUCACGUUACUGUCACGUUACUGUCGCAGUGGUUACAUUACCUUCACAUUGGUCACGUUACUGUCACAGUGGUCACGUUACUGUCACAGUGGUCACGUUACUGUCACGUUACUGUCACAGUGGUCACGUUACUGUCACAUUACUGUCACAGUGGUCACGUUACUGUCACAGUGGUCACGUUCACGUUACUGUCGCAGUGGUUACAUUACUGUCACAGUGGUUACAUUACUGUCACAGUGGUUACGUUACUGUCGCAGUGGUCACGUUACUGUCGCAGUGGUCACGUUACUGUCACAGUGGUCACGUUACUGUCACAGUGGUCAUGUUACUGUCGCAUUUGUCACGUUACUGUCACAGUGGUCACGUUACUGUCACGUUACUGUCACAGUGGUCACGUUACUGUCACAGUGGUCAAGGUUACUGUCACAGUGGUCACGUUACUGUCGCAGUGGUCACGUUACUGUCACGUUACUGUCACAGUGGUCACGUUACUGUCACAGUGGUCACGUUACUGUCGCAGUGGUCACGUUACUGACACAGUGGUCACGUUACUGUCACGUUACUGUCGCAGUGGUUACAUUACCUUCACAGUGGUCACGUUACUGUCACAGUGGUCACGUUACUGUCAUGUUACUGUCACAGUGGUCACGUUACUGUCGCAGUGGUCACGUAACUGUCACAGUGGUCACGUUACUGUCGCAGUGGUCACUUUACUGUCACAGUGGUCACGUUACUGUCGCAGUGGUUACAUUACCUUCACAGUGGUUAUGUUACUGUCAUAGUGGUCACGUUACUGUCACAGUGGUCACGUUACUGUCGCAGUGGUCACGUUACUGUCACAGUGGUCACGUUACUGUCACAGUGGUCACGUUACUGUCACAGUGGUCACGUUACUGUCGACACAAAGCACUAUGA